CCUACGGGAGGCAGCAGUGGGGAAUAUUGCACAAUGGGCGGAAGCCUGAUGCAGCGACGCCGCGUGAGGGGUGACGGCCUUCGGGUUGUAAACCUCUUUCGACAGGGACGAAGCGCAAGUGACGGUACCUGGAGAAGAAGCACCGGCCAACCACGUGCCAGCAGCCGCGGUAAGACGUAGGGUGCGAGCGUUGUCCGGAUUUAUUAGGCGUAAAGAGCUCGUAGGCGGCUCGUCGCGUCGACCGUGAAAACCCGCAGCUUAACUGCGGGCUUGCGGUUGAUACGGGCGGGCUAGAGUUCGGUAGGGGAGACUGGAAUUCCUGGUGUAGCGGUGAAAUGCGCAGAUAUCAGGAGGAACACCGGUGGCGAAGGCGGGUCUCUGGGCCGAUACUGACGCUGAGGAGCGAAAGCGUGGGGAGCGAACAGGAUUAGAUACCCUGGUAGUCCACGCUGUAAACGUUGGGCGCUAGGUGUGGGGGGCCUCUCCGGUUCUCUGUGCCGCAGCUAACGCAUUAAGCGCCCCGCCUGGGGAGUACGGCCGCAAGGCUAAAACUCAAAGGAAUUGACGGGGGCCCGCACAAGCGGCGGAGCAUGCGGAUUAAUUCGAUGCAACGCGAAGAACCUUACCUGGGUUUGACAUGGCCGCAAAACUCGCAGAGAUGCGGGGUCCUUCGGGGGCGGUCACAGGUGGCGCAUGGCUGUCGUCAGCUCGUGUCGUGAGAUGUUGGGUUAAGUCUCGCAACGAGCGCAACCCUUGUCCGAUGUUGCCAGCGGGUUAUGCCGGGGACUCAUCGGAGACUGCCGGGGUCAACUCGGAGGAUGUGGGGAUGACGUCAAGUCAUCAUGCCCCUUAUAUCCAGGGCUUCACGCAUGCUACAUGGCCGGUACAAAGGGCUGCGAUACCGUGAGGUGGAGCGAAUCUCAAAAGCCGGUCUCAGUUCGGAUCGGGGUCUGCACUCGACUCCGUGAAGUCGGAGUCGCUAGUAAUCGCAGAUCAGCCACGCCGCGGUGAAUACGUUUCCCGG
This 1024-nucleotide ribosomal RNA is filed under the name uncultured bacterium. Its description in RNAcentral is "bacterial SSU rRNA". It matches the Rfam family "Bacterial small subunit ribosomal RNA", at positions 338 to 1377 of the family's 1533-position model. The record is from RNAcentral.